UUUGUUCUUUCUACCCCAGAGCUGGGAAAUUCUUGGAUCCUAUGGCAGCAAAGUUGUUUGGUAGCAUGUGCUGUGCAAAAACAAGCUUUUACUGGGUCAUGCCAGCAGCAAGAAGACCUCCACUUCUUUUGUCAUCAUUAUCAGAGUGGAAGGUGAAAUAGACCAGAAACUCAGAUGCCUUCUGUACUUGUGCUGUAAGGCAAGGCUCUCUAUGCCUAGAUCAUCUCUGACAGAACUGCUUUCAAA
Molecule: long non-coding RNA, 246 nt
Organism: Poecile atricapillus (Black-capped chickadee)
Lineage: Eukaryota; Metazoa; Chordata; Aves; Passeriformes; Paridae
Exons: 3
Source: RefSeq, a predicted model, not a curated record